This 449-nucleotide long non-coding RNA is filed under the name Bos taurus (domestic cattle). RNAcentral describes it as "long non-coding RNA NONBTAT000449". Lineage: Eukaryota; Metazoa; Chordata; Mammalia; Artiodactyla; Bovidae. The record is from RNAcentral.
GAGAUUAUCUUUUAUUUAAACUACUGAAAUGAAGUACACUAAUAAACUUGAAAAUUAAUUGUGGCAGAACCAAAAAAUGGAAACCUUUUCUAUGUACCCAGGAUUACAAUAACAAUCUAAGAGACCCAUCCAUAAAAUCUACAAAAGAUACAAAGACUUGGAUAAUACACUCAUCUAAAAUCAUACCACAGAGCCUGAGUUAUGAUUUGUAUGCAGCUGUCAAAUUACAUGACUGAUAUUCAGUGAAAAUAUGACAAGAUAUCAUAAGUUAUUUAAUAUUCUUCUGGCUAGAAGAAACUAGGAGUAUAAUUUUCUCUAAUCCCAUUUAAUAGGACAUGUUUGAAAAUUAAUGGAGAAUAUUCAUUUUACUUGGGGUUUUGAAAAGUUUGAAUGAAGUCAUAAUGUCACAAGACAGCUGAGUAACAACACAUAAUAGUCAAUGAAAAUGC